Molecule: ribosomal RNA, 109 nt
Filed under: Mesonia aestuariivivens
Lineage: Bacteria; Pseudomonadati; Bacteroidota; Flavobacteriia; Flavobacteriales; Flavobacteriaceae
Source: RNAcentral
UAAGGUGGUUAUAGCGACGGGGCUCACCUCUUCCCAUUCCGAACAGAGAAGUUAAGCCCGUUAGCGCAGAUGGUACUGCUUAUUGUGGGAGAGUAUGUCGCCGCCUUCU